Molecule: long non-coding RNA, 1557 nt
Organism: Mus musculus (house mouse)
Lineage: Eukaryota; Metazoa; Chordata; Mammalia; Rodentia; Muridae
Product: predicted gene, 30012
Exons: 5
Source: RefSeq, a predicted model, not a curated record
GGGGUGGACAGAACUCCCCUCCUCCCAGGCAGGUGGAUGCACACCCACUGGACAAUCAAAACUUAGGAGCUGGGAGAGGGAACGCCAGGAAGCUGGAGGGCGCAGGGCUCAGAGGUGCAGGAAAGGGCUGGCCACGCGCGCAGGGCGGCGUCAGCGGCUCCAGGGACCUCCUCCAUUAGCGGCCAGUCACUCUGAAGAAGCCAGUCGCUAACCCGGCCUCUCCUUCCCUUCCUAAUCCGAGACAGAGUGGGACUGCCUCACCCAGCACGGAAACCGAGACGUCCCAUACAGAAAGGGAAACUGAGGCUGAGGGUUCAGACUUCAAGAGGUCCAGCAUUGCUAGCUCCAUUGCUUUGGAACUGUGGGAGCUAGAGCACAGGGCUCAAAGAAGAAGUGUGGCCAAUUGCAGAAGAUGGGGCAGAGAGAGCCCAUGGACACUCCAGGCUCCGGGUGAAUUCUCAUCUCUUUUCCCUAGAAGCAGAGCAGAAUGAAGUGACCAUCAAGGCCACAUCUUCCUUAUACAUUGAAGAGUGGUUGAAGAGAACACCUGAUAUCAGCCUGUGGUCUCCAUAUGGACGUGCACGUGUCAUUCCUCUGGUUGGUACCGCACACUCAAUUACCAGGGUUUGCAGAAUGAAGCAGACCUUGGCAAUACCAUCACCUACCACCAGGGGCACUGCUGCCUUGGAGACCUCCAGACAGAGAGGGCUUCUGAGAAGGCAUCAUGACCAGCUUAGUGGGAAGGAGAGGUUUUGGCUACUUACUGACAUUUGGAUCAACAUGUUCCCCUGAGAAACGAGGAGAAGCCAUCCUGUUCCUUCCAGAGCCUGGCUUCGGGAGGAUAAUAUACACUUCCAUUUGUCACCAGCAGCUCUGUGUUCUUUCCUGAGUUAUCCCAGGUCCCAGAGGAGCUCACAAAUGCUGGGAACAUUCUUCGUAGCCCAACCCAUUUCAGUGCUGAGUAUCCCCAUUAUUUGGAAAGCCACCAUUCUCCUAAUUCUCCCCCGAAGGACAUUUUGCUUUCUCUAAGGGUUUGGUGAUGGUGGGAAAAGCUGCUAUAAAUGUUACCGUGCUGGCUUGUGUGUAGAAGUAAAUGUUCAUCUGAGUAAAGACUAAGGGGGCACAACUGGGAUCACGUGGGAAGAUGCUUUCAAUCUUGUAAACAAUCAACUCAUCUUCCAAAGUAGUUGUGCCAUUUCUCAUUCCAGCAGCAAUGACCAGCCAUUCCCGCUGUCUCUCAUCCUUGCUAGCACAUGAUGUCACCAGUGCUCUGGGGUCUGGCCAUUCUAAAGGUAGGUAGGGCUAUUUUGUGGAUGUUUUGAUUUGCAGUUGCACAGUGGCACUCUGAACACAUUUCUCCCAUUAAAGAUCGCAAUGACCUGUGAGUUCCAGGCCAGCCUAGACUACACAGCAAAUGUUAGGCCAGCCUGGGCUAUACAAUAAGAUCCUAUCUUUUGAAAUAUACAACCCAAUAAUAGUAAAAUGUUACAGAUAGCACACAAGUAUGGUAGUUGCAAAAUAAACACCCCUGUAACUGACAAUCCAUCCAAGAGCCCU